CUCCCUGAUUAUCUUAUCCUCAUUCCCAGCUGGAACCACCACCUCACUCCGACCCAGAUCACUCUUUUAAGCUCUAACUGCCCACAACUGCCCAUGGGACACAUCUUCUUAGUUGUUCCACAGGCACCUCAAAAUCACCAUCUUGUUAACCAGUUUUCCUGUCCUCUUACCUAAACCCAGUCUCAUCUCCCCCAUCAAAUCAGUCACCAAAGGUGAAUGGCUCAAGGAACAAAUAUGAUCCAAGCUGAACCAAGCAGAUUCUACUAAGAAUUUACAAUGAGGACCCAGAAGAUUCUAAACAGGCAAGAAUACUGAAGUGGGUUGCCAUUUUCUUCUCCAGGGGAGCUUGCCAAUCCAGGGAUCAAACCUGCAGGUGGAUUCUUUACCACAGCGCCGCCUGGAGAGCCCACAGUUGUAUGACCACCACGUUAAUCAAGAUGUAGAACUCUGCAUCACCCCCCUAAGUUCCCUUGUUCUCCUUUCUAGUCACCCUCACCUUACCACUAGCCCUUGCCACCACCAAUCUGUUUUCUCUCAAUAUCUUUGCCUUUUCAAGUUGAAUUUGGUGAUUGGGAUUGACAUAUAGACACUACCAUGUGUGAAAUAGAUAACUAAUGAGAUAACCUACUAUAUAGCACAGGAAACCCUUCUCAAUGUUCUUUGGUGACCUAACUGGGAAGGAAAUCCUAAAAACAAGGUAUAUAUGUAUAUGUAUUGCUGAUUCACUUUUCUAUACAGCAGAAACU
Molecule: long non-coding RNA, 746 nt
Organism: Bos taurus (domestic cattle)
Lineage: Eukaryota; Metazoa; Chordata; Mammalia; Artiodactyla; Bovidae
Source: Ensembl